RNAcentral lists this ribosomal RNA (442 nucleotides) under Eledone massyae. RNAcentral's name for it is "partial 16S ribosomal RNA". The stretch from base 322 to 442 matches the Rfam family "Bacterial large subunit ribosomal RNA", at positions 2473 to 2593 of the family's 2925-position model. Lineage: Eukaryota; Metazoa; Mollusca; Cephalopoda; Octopoda; Eledonidae. The record is from RNAcentral.
CUGUACUAAGGUAGCAUAAUAAUUUGUCUUAUAAAUUAAGACUAGAAUGAAUGGUUUGACGAAAAUUAUUCUGUCUCUAUUAUAAUUAUUAGAAAUUAAUGUUUAUAGUGAGAAAGCUUAAAUAUUUUAAAGGGACGAGAAGACCCUAUUGAGCUUAAUAUUAAAAUAUAAAUUUUGUUAGUAAUAAAUUAAUAAAGUUUAUUAAUUUUAAAUUUUGAUUGGGGUGAUCGAGGAAUAUAAAUAAUUAAAUUUAACUUCCUAAUAUUAUAUAUUUAUAAAUAAAGAAACCAAAUAUUUUGCUUAGAAGGAAGUUACCAUAGGGAUAACAGCGUGAUUUUUUUAAAGAGUUCAUAUUAAAAAAAAAGAUUGCGACCUCGAUGUUGGAUUAAAAUUACCUUUAGGUGCAGAAGCUUAAAUAGGUAAAUCUGUUCGAUUUUUAAAA